Molecule: long non-coding RNA, 3684 nt
Filed under: Cinara cedri
Lineage: Eukaryota; Metazoa; Arthropoda; Insecta; Hemiptera; Aphididae
Source: RNAcentral
CUAGUAAAGAAGUUUUACAAGCUCGUCUUGAUAAAAUUUUGGUAAAAGUCAAAUUUAUUUUGUAUGUAUUAAAAUAUAUUAUAUUUGAAUAGUUACUUUUUUUUAGGAAUUACUAAAAUCACAAGAAGAAGGUCAGCUAAUUAUUCAUUCCACUGUAAAUUCUGGUGAAAAAGUUCUUAGGAGUACUAGAUCUGAUGGAAAAGACUUAAUUAACAAUCAAUUAAAAGAAAUUCAAACAGAUUGGGAUAGGCUUGUAAAAAAAAUAGCUACAUCUAAAGUUCAUAUUGAAACAAGUCUUCUACAAUGGGCCGAUUACAAUUCAUCAUAUUCACAUCUAGAACAAUGGAUCUCAGAUCGCGAAGCUAAACUGGAAGAAGUUUGUGAACUUAAAGUAAAAAGACAUUUAUUCAUUAUAAUAUUUUUAUACAUAAUAAAAGUAUAGUACAAUUCUUAAAUAUGAAUAAAAUCAGAAGAUAUUAAAUUAUAUACGUUGCUUUUUUACUAUUAACAUUAAAAGAAAUUAUUUUGUUUGUGUUCAUAGGUAGUUAAUACUUAAAUUUUAAAUAUUAUUAAAAUCAAUUUUAUACAUUUUUAAAAUAUAUUUUCAAUUAGGUAACAAAAGCAAAAAAAAAUCAAACCGGAAUUGGAUCAUUGAGUAUUGGAGAACGAAAAGCAACACUACGUAGAACAAAUAGUAUUGUUCAAGAUAUUGUUUCAUUUGAACCUAUGAUUCAAAAAGUAACACUUAAGGCAGAAGACUUACAACAAGGUGUACCUGCAAAUGAAAUAACUAACAAAUAUCAUACAUUGAGUAUUAAAGCUAAAGGUCUUUAUGAAAAGCAAAAAGAAACAGUAAGAUUACAUCAAGAAUUCAUUGAUGCUGGAAAUGAUUUUGCUAUUUGGCUAAGGUCAUCUAAAGAACGUGUUAGCAAAAUAUCUGAACCAACAGGAGAUAAAGAAAUGUUGAGUGCUAAAUCUGUUCAAUUUAAGGUACCUACUCGAUAUUACAAUCUUGUUUAAAUAUUAAAAUUAUUUAUGAUUUUAUUAUUGUUCUAGGUAUUACAGAGUGAAUUACCCGAAGGACAAAAAAAAUUAGAGAUUGCUCUCGAAAGAGCAGAAAAAGCAUGUUCAUUCGCCGAUGAAGAAGAAAAAGAAAUUAUUGAACAGGAAGUAGUUAUGCUACAAGAAGAAUUUGAUAUACAUAAUGACAUACUUCAAAAAACUAAAACAUUGUUAGAAGUAAAUACAAUUUAUUAUUAGAAAUGUUACUUGUUUAUUUAAAUAUAUAUUGAUCUAUACAUAUUAUCUAUUAAUAUUUAUCUAUAUGUAUUUUUAACUUUAGGAUGGCAUUUACAAAUGGAAUGAUUUUGAUGAUUAUUCUAAAGGUGCCACAGAGUGGUUAAAUAAUACUGAGCUACUUGUACAAUCAUAUAAUAAACUACAGCCAAGUCUAGAUGGGAAAAAGGAAGCACUAGAAGAAUUUCAAACUCAAUUACAAAUGCUAUUUGACUGGCAGAAAGAAUUGGAUAUUUUAAAUGGAAAAGCACAGGUAUUCAAUUGAAAUAGUUAUUUUAAAAUAUUAUUCCUCCUUAUUAUAUUAAUAUUAAAUGUUUUUAAAUUUAGGUUCUUUUGGAAACAUGUUCUGAUACACGUUUAUCAAAUUCAAUAACCCAAAUGACAACUAAAUACAAUACAUUACUAUCCUUAGCUAAAGAAGUUAUGCGACGUUUAGAAUUACAUUAUCAAGAGCAUCAACAACAUAAUUCAUUAUACCAGGAAUGUCUAGAUUGGCUUGAAAGAACUCGAGAUAAGGUAUUUUUACUAAUAAAAAUGCACAUACAAAUUAUUAAUAAAAAAUGUUUGUUUUAAGUUAAAUGAAUGUGAAGAAAUACCAAACAGGUUAAAUGAAGUUAAAAAUAAACUUCAGAGCUUAAAGGUUAUUAGGCAAACACUUGAACAAGGUCAAAAUCGUUUAAGAUACAUAAUGGAAUUAAAAGAAAAAGUUGUACUUAACACUGAAUCUCAAGGUACUGUUAAAAUUGAAGAAGACACUGAAAAUUUAAGACAAGAAUUUGACAAACUUUCAAAUAAAAUCCAAGUAAGUAAUGAUUAAUGUUAUGUACUUAAUAAGAAUCUAAAAUGUAUAUAACUGUCAACUGUCUUUUGUAAAAGGCGUGUAACAAUAAUUUAACUUUGAGAGUAACACAACUUGAAGAAUUAGAGAAAUGUAUAAAAAUAUUAAAUGAAUGCUUGGACGAUAUAAGUUCUAAAACUAAUGGAAAUGAUCUUGAUCAACCAUUAAAUGAUUUAAGUGAAAAGAAAACAGCGUUUGAGAAAUUUAAAUCCUUACUUCGUGAACUUAAUACCCACAAUGAUUUAGUAUGUAUAAAACCAUAAACUGAAAUUUAAAACUUUAUUGACAUUUUUUAUAUAACUUAUAUUACCUAUAAAUAGGUUAAUCGCUUAUCAACCAAUAUGAAUAAUGAAUCUUCAACUCAAGAAUCAGUUACUUGUAUAUCUAGAUAUAACAAUCUUAUUACUGUGGUAAGAUAAAUUCAAAUGUUUAUUCAACAAUACAAAAACAAAAUAAAUCCAAUUAUAUAUUCUUGUAAUUUUAGAUAAACAAAAAAUUAUCUGCUAUGGAAAGUCAAGUAACGGAACAUGAAGCUUAUAGAAAUGCAUUGAUAAACAUAAAUGAUUGGUUACGAAAAACUCGAGUUUCAGUUCAAAGUUGUGCAGAUACGCAUGGUGAUUGUAAAGUUAAUGCUUCUAAAAUUAUCCAGCUAAAAGAUAUUGAAGAAUCUUCCCAGAACGGUGAAGGAAUGAUUAAAGAUAUUUUAGCACAAAUUGAAGUGCUUAAAAAUACUACUGGACCAGAAGGUUGUGAUAAAUUGAACCAAGAUAAAAAUCAAUUGAACUGUGACUGGGACGAGCUAAAGCAUUUUAUUAAGGAAGUGCAAUCGUCAUUAAAUAAAUGCGCAAAGGCAUGGGAAGACUUCAAUGUAGUAUACAAAGCAUUAAAAGACUGGGAAACAGAUCUAUCAAAUAAAGUCAACACAGCUGCUUCGUCUAACGAAACAUACACUCCAGAUGAUUUAGACCAGUACAAGCUUUGGCUACAAGAAAUUAUAAACCAAAAUGUAUCCAUUGAAGAACUUACUGACCGUUGUGAGUUAUUAAUGGAAUUAAGUGCAUGCAAUUGGGUUAGGGAUGACACACUUAAAAUACAAUCAUCAUAUACAACAUUAUUAACUACAACUCAAGGGUUAGUAUUUUAUUUCUUAAGAAUUUUAAUUAGAUCAAAUUGUUUUAUUAUCUAUACAUUUUAUAUUUUUAUAAUUCAUUAGACUUGUAUCAAAAGCAGAAAAAAGCUUGACUGAUCAUACUGAAUUUAUUGCUGCAAAAGAAAAAGUUGAAGAAUGGUUAAAUCGCGCUCAUGGUACAGUUCAAGAUUGUAUAGGCGAAGGUGAUUUAGGUUGGGUGAAGGAUAAAUUACAAACAGUAAACCUUGUUUCUUCCAGAAUAACCGAAGGUACCUAAUAAUAAGUUAUUAAAUAUUUUACAAUAACUAUUUUUUUUUUCUAUUUUUACAAUCGAAAAAAUUGUGCUAUACUAAAAUUUAACAACAAUAUUCUUUUAAUUUUAGGCCAAUAUUUAAUGAAUGGAAUGCAAGAAGUAUUUACU